GUGGCUUCAUUUUUCACCAAUGGAAAAGAGCGAAAGGGCGUCGUCCAUUAUAUAUACAGUCUAUGUUUAGGACAGGCAAUAGCGACUUUCCUUAAUGAGGAGUUGGCAACACUUAUAGCUACGUUUAAAGAGAGUUAGCGACGCGACGAGGAAGGCUACUUGUUAGUUAGCGAGCUGUAGUUAGUUAAGGUUUUGAUAUAUAUGUGUGGCUUGAGCUGUGGUAAAGGAGACCAUUUCCACUGCUGCUACUGCCAUCAAACAUUGAUUCUAAGAAAGCAGUUAAUCAAACACUUGGCAAGAUGCAGUACCCCAACCACAACAACCAACACUACCCCAUCUGUUAUGCCUCACCUGACCCCAAACACAACAACCAAUACCACCCCAUCUGUGAUGCCUCUCCUGAACCCAACCACAACAAGCAACACCACUCCAUCUGUGAUCCCUUUCCUGAACCCAACCACAACAAGCAACACCACUCCAUCUGUGAUCCCUUUCCUGAACCCAACCACAACAACCAACACCACUCCAUCUGUGAUGCCUCUCCUGACCACAACAACUAACACCACCCCAUCUGUGAUGCCUUUAACCACUCCAAUAAACCACUCCAAUUUUCCUCUAGCAACAGAUCAAGCCCCCAGAGUUUGUAAAACCAAGGUUAGACAAGUGCAAUGCACUCUCUGCGGUCAGUUAGUAAACAAAAAUAAUUUGUGUUCAUUUAAAAAGAAGACAUUCAACUAAUGAACCAGCCCAACACCACCUUCCUUCCAUCUGCCUGGAGGCAGUGGGAUAUUUGCAGUUGGGAAAGCUUUCAAAGGAAGAACAAUCCCCCCCAAAAAAACAUGGGGCAACAGCCACUCAGUAGUUUGUGAACUGGACAGUUGCCAUAUCGAUUUAGAUUUUGCAAUGAGGAGUGGCAUGGUGGCUUUUGAUUGUAUCCAUGUGAAAUCGCUAAGCUACUGCCCUCCAGCAAUGAGUGAAGAUAUUACUCUGGACAAAAAGGUAAUUAACGACAUUGUCACUGCAAAGUGCUGUGCCUAAAACUCCAAGAAGAAGCUUUUUUUGCAAGGCCAGACCACCGAGAACUUGAAUGUAUCAGCAAUUGAAUCCCAGUUGGAGGUAAACCAAGAUGAUUGGGUGAAAAGUGAUGCCAGAACACAAGUGUUUUACCCACCAAAG
Long non-coding RNA from Esox lucius (northern pike), 1176 nucleotides. NCBI's taxonomy places the organism in Eukaryota, Metazoa, Chordata, Actinopteri, Esociformes, Esocidae. The record is from Ensembl.